CCUACGGGAGGCUACAGUGAGGAAUAUUGGUCAAUGGACGAGAGUCUGAACCAGCCAAGUAGCGUGAAGGAUGACUGCCCUAUGGGUUGUAAACUUCUUUUAUAUGGGAAUAAAAUGUUCCACGUGUGGGAUUUUGUAUGUACCAUAUGAAUAAGGAUCGGCUAACUCCGUGCCAGCAGCCGCGGUAAUACGGAGGAUCCGAGCGUUAUCCGGAUUUAUUGGGUUUAAAGGGAGCGUAGGUGGAUUGUUAAGUCAGUUGUGAAAGUUUGCGGCUCAACCGUAAAAUUGCAGUUGAAACUGGCAGUCUUGAGUACAGUAGAGGUGGGCGGAAUUCGUGGUGUAGCGGUGAAAUGCUUAGAUAUCACGAAGAACUCCGAUUGCGAAGGCAGUUCACUGGACUGCAACUGACACUGAGGCUCGAAAGUGUGGGUAUCAAACAGGAUUAGAUACCCUAGUAGUC
RNAcentral lists this ribosomal RNA (460 nucleotides) under uncultured bacterium. Its description in RNAcentral is "partial 16S ribosomal RNA". It matches the Rfam family "Bacterial small subunit ribosomal RNA", at positions 338 to 795 of the family's 1533-position model. The record is from RNAcentral.